AAUAGAUACCCGGGUAGUCCACGCCGUAAACGAUGAGUGCUAAGUGUUAGAGGGUUUCCGCCCUUUAGUGCUGCAGCUAACGCAUUAAGCACUCCGCCUGGGGAGUACGGCCGCAAGGCUGAAACUCAAAGGAAUUGACGGGGGCCCGCACAAGCGGUGGAGCAUGUGGUUUAAUUCGAAGCAACGCGAAGAACCUUACCAGGUCUUGACAUCCUCUGACAACCCUAGAGAUAGGGCUUUCCCCUUCGGGGGACAGAGUGACAGGUGGUGCAUGGUUGUCGUCAGCUCGUGUUGUGAGAUGUUGGGUUAAGUCCCGCAACGAGCGCAACCCUUGAUCUUAGUUGCCAGCAUUCAGUUGGGCACUCUAAGGUGACUGCCGGUGACAAACCGGAGGAAGGCGGGGAUGACGUCAAAUCAUCAUGCCCCUUAUGACCUGGGCUACACACGUGCUACAAUGGAUGGUACAAAGGGCUGCAAACCUGCGAAGGUAAGCGAAUCCCAUAAAGCCAUUCUCAGUUCGGAUUGCAGG
RNAcentral lists this ribosomal RNA (529 nucleotides) under uncultured bacterium. RNAcentral describes it as "bacterial SSU rRNA". It matches the Rfam family "Bacterial small subunit ribosomal RNA", at positions 777 to 1304 of the family's 1533-position model. The record is from RNAcentral.